RNAcentral lists this ribosomal RNA (278 nucleotides) under uncultured bacterium. Its description in RNAcentral is "partial 16S ribosomal RNA". It matches the Rfam family "Bacterial small subunit ribosomal RNA", at positions 30 to 306 of the family's 1533-position model. The record is from RNAcentral.
AUUGAACGCUGGCGGCGUGCCUAACACAUGCAAGUCGAGCGGUAACAGGUGUAGCAAUACAUGCUGACGAGCGGCGGACGGGUGAGUAACGCUUGGGAAUCUGCCUGUUAGUGGGGGACAACCCGGGGAACUCGGGCUAAUACCGCAUACGCACUACGGUGGAAAGCCGGGGACCGCAAGGCCUGGCGCUAACAGAUGAGCCCAAGUCGGAUUAGCUAGUUGGUAGGGGUAAUGGCCUACCAAGGCGACGAUCCGUAACUGGUCUGAGAGGACGACCA